This 492-nucleotide ribosomal RNA is filed under the name uncultured bacterium. RNAcentral describes it as "partial 16S ribosomal RNA". It matches the Rfam family "Bacterial small subunit ribosomal RNA", at positions 29 to 507 of the family's 1533-position model. The record is from RNAcentral.
AGUGAACGCUGGCGGUAGGCCUAACACAUGCAAGUCGAACGGCAGCACAGUAAGAGCUUGCUCUUACGGGUGGCGAGUGGCGGACGGGUGAGGAAUACAUCGGAAUCUACUUUUUCGUGGGGGAUAACGUAGGGAAACUUACGCUAAUACCGCAUACGACCUACGGGUGAAAGCAGGGGAUCUUCGGACCUUGCGCGAUUGAAUGAGCCGAUGUCGGAUUAGCUAGUUGGCGGGGUAAAGGCCCACCAAGGCGACGAUCCGUAGCUGGUCUGAGAGGAUGAUCAGACACACUGGAACUGAGACACGGUCCAGACUCCUACGGGAGGCAGCAGUGGGGAAUAUUGGACAAUGGGCGCAAGCCUGAUCCAGCCAUACCGCGUGGGUGAAGAAGGCCUUCGGGUUGUAAAGCCCUUUUGUUGGGAAAGAAAAGCAGCAGGUUAAUACCCCGCUGUUCUGACGGUACCCAAAGAAUAAGCACUGGCUAACUUCGUG